GACGAACGCUGGCGGCGUGCCUAAUACAUGCAAGUCGAACGCUUCUUUCCUCCCGAGUGCUUGCACUCAAUUGGAAAGAGGAGUGGCGGACGGGGGAGUAACACGUGUGUAACCUACCCAUCAGAGGGGGAUAACACUUGGAAACAGGUGCUAAUACCGCAUAACAGUUUAUGCCGCAUGGCAUAAGAGUGAAAGGCGCUUUCGGGUGUCGCUGAUGGAUGGACCCGCGGUGCGUUAGCUAGUUGGGGAGGGAACGGCUCACCAAGGCCACGAUGCAUAGCCGCCCUGAGAGGGUGAUCGGCCACACUGGGACUGAGACACGGCCCAGACUCCUACGGGAGGCAGCAGUAGGGAAUCUUCGGCAAUGGGCGAAAGUCUGACCGAGCAACGCCGCGUGAGUGAAGAAGGUGUUCGGAUCGUAAAACUCUGUUGUUAGAGAAGAACAAGGACGUUAGUAACUGAACGUCCCCUGACGGUAUCUAACCAGAAAGCCACGGCUAACUACGUG
This 508-nucleotide ribosomal RNA is filed under the name uncultured bacterium. RNAcentral describes it as "partial 16S ribosomal RNA". It matches the Rfam family "Bacterial small subunit ribosomal RNA", at positions 28 to 507 of the family's 1533-position model. The record is from RNAcentral.